RNAcentral lists this ribosomal RNA (475 nucleotides) under uncultured bacterium. RNAcentral's name for it is "partial 16S ribosomal RNA". It matches the Rfam family "Bacterial small subunit ribosomal RNA", at positions 28 to 507 of the family's 1533-position model. The record is from RNAcentral.
GAUGAACGCUAGCGAUAGGCUUAACACAUGCAAGUCGAGGGGCAGCAUGGUCUUAGCUUGCUAAGACUGAUGGCGACCGGCGCACGGGUGCGUAACGCGUAUGCAACUUGCCUCACAGAGGGGGAUAACCCGUCGAAAGACGGACUAAUACCGCGUACACUUGGGAUAGGGCAUCCUGGCCCAAGGAAAUGAAAUUCGCUGUGAGAUAGGCAUGCGGGCCAUUAGCUAGUUGGUGAGGUAACGGCUCACAAAGGCGACGAAGGGUAGGGGACCUGAGAGGGUGAACGGCGACAUGGGGACUGAGAUACGGCCCAGACUCGUACGGGAGGCAGGAGUGGGGAAUAUUGCAGAAUGGGCGGAAGCCUGAUGAAGCAACGCCGCGUGAGGGAUGCCGGCCUUCGGGUUGUAAACCGAUGUAGCCGGUGACGAAGCGUGAGUGACGGUAAUGGGUAAAGAAGCACCGGCUAACUACGUG